Gorilla gorilla gorilla (western lowland gorilla) is the source of this 1150-nucleotide long non-coding RNA. RefSeq lists it as uncharacterized. The transcript has 5 exons. The record is from RefSeq and is a predicted model, not a curated record. Lineage: Eukaryota; Metazoa; Chordata; Mammalia; Primates; Hominidae.
GUCAGGGGCGCCGACGCAGGGAGGGGCCCUCCCGAGCCCCUUGCGCCCUCCCCCACCCGGGGCUCUCCUAGGCGCUCGAUUCCAAUGAAGCUCCCCCUCCCCCCCCCGCACGGACGCCCCGGAGCCCAGGCCCGGCCCGAUGCUCCCCACCCCCACCGGACUGGGGGACUCGGGGGGCCUCCCUCUCCGCCUCGCCACUGGGGGAAGGAAAGAGGCGGAGGGAGGAAGAGUGCAAGUUAGAAGCGGACGCCCCGCACGGGCCUCGCGAGGCGGCAGAGCCCCUUCCAGACGGAGCCACAGUGGACCGUGAUGCGGAGCUAAGACUAGCAGAACAACCGAGAAGGAGCCUGGGCCCUUAGCACUAUGGAUGGAGGGCCACAUCAACCCUUGAACUGAUGACGUCUGGGUUUCUUUUUGAUCCUUGUUGGGUUCUGACAAUAGGAGACACGGGAGGUUUCCUGGACAGCAGGAAGAGGAAGAAGGAAUCUGGAUGCUGUUUCCUGUUUGCCUUGCAGACCAGCCCCAGCUCAUCACAUUCCUUCAGAAACACCAGCAUCAGCUACAGUUGCCCACGGGAAGAGUCUUUCCAUUUGCCACACUGGAUGCCACACUGGAUGGGAUAAUCUAGGAGGGAGGAACUGUGGAGAUGGUGCACCUUGGGAUGUCCAGAAGACAGUGACCAGAAUUUCAAGAGAUGUUUUCAGAUUUCACAGUAUAAUAAGAGAAAAGGAGCCAAUCCCUUAAAUGAAGAACCUUCAAUCACUUCUCCCCAGGUGCACGUUUCAAUUUCAUUUCUUUUCAUCAACUCCUUCCCUUUGAUGAUGGGUUGCAUUGAAAACUAUUAAGAAAAGUAGGAUAUUUAAAAUGAACUGUGUUAAGAAGAGGAUCAUUUCAAAGAAUAGCCGUCUAUUCUGAGGAAGUCCCUUCAGCCAAUCAAAAAGCUAAAGAAACUGGAUAUAAUGUGAAUCUAGUGUAAAUUACCAUGAUGUCUCCCUCAACAUUCAUCAAGACUUCUGACUAGUCUACUUGAUCUGUGAAAAUGAGAUUACUUGAAGACCUGUCACAGAUUUUAAAGCAGAACAAGAUAUAUUGAUUAUACAAAUAUUUUUAUGUCACCCUAUAUCUUAAUAAAAUAACAUUUACGUCUGGA